UACGUAGGGACCGAGCGUUGUCCGGAUUCAUUGGGCGUAAAGAGCUCGUAGGCGGCUGUUCAAGUCGAACGUGAAAACUCGGGGCUCAACUCCGAGCCUGCGUUCGAUACUGGACGGCUAGAGUCUGGUAGGGGGAUCUGGAAUUCCUGGUGUAGCGGUGGAAUGCGCAGAUAUCAGGAAGAACACCCGUGGCGAAGGCGGUUCUCUGGGACGGUACUGACGCUGAGACGCGAAAGCGUGGGGAGCGAACAGG
Molecule: ribosomal RNA, 253 nt
Filed under: uncultured bacterium
Lineage: Bacteria
Description: partial 16S ribosomal RNA
Rfam family: Bacterial small subunit ribosomal RNA
Source: RNAcentral